Molecule: non-coding RNA, 29 nt
Filed under: Homo sapiens (human)
Lineage: Eukaryota; Metazoa; Chordata; Mammalia; Primates; Hominidae
Source: RNAcentral
GGGAAAAUGGAACUUGGGAGUCAGCUGUC